Molecule: transfer RNA, 73 nt
Organism: Camelus ferus (Wild Bactrian camel)
Lineage: Eukaryota; Metazoa; Chordata; Mammalia; Artiodactyla; Camelidae
Rfam family: tRNA
About the family: Transfer RNA (tRNA) molecules are approximately 80 nucleotides in length. Their secondary structure includes four short double-helical elements and three loops (D, anti-codon, and T loops).
Source: Rfam
CGGGGUAUAGCUCAAGUUGUAGAGAGCAUGCUUAGCAUGCAUGAGGUCCUGGGUUCAAUCCCCUGUACCUCCU